Molecule: long non-coding RNA, 17584 nt
Filed under: Phaseolus vulgaris (common bean)
Lineage: Eukaryota; Viridiplantae; Streptophyta; Magnoliopsida; Fabales; Fabaceae
Description: long non-coding RNA (PVUL_LNC005261)
Source: RNAcentral
AGCCAAUUGGUGGUACAUGAUCUAGUGGGCUACAAACCAAAACCCAGUUAUUCUAACAUCUACAUCUGACAUCCAAUCCCCCUUAACUAAAAAUUGAUAGAAAAGAUAUGUUAAAAGCAAUGUUUACCGUGUACUCCAGCAUGUUUUUGUAUGGCCUUUCAACUUCACGAAGAACAAAUGGUUUCCCAUUGAUGUAAAUAACAGGCUCUUCUCUCAUAUUAUGCCAAAGUAUUGGGCGUCCACCUUCAGAACUUCCUAUCCUCCGGAUGACAGAUCGAAUACCAUCAAUUGUUGGAUUUGCCACUCCAUAAACUGGAAAUCCAGGAACUUCUCGGAAAUUAGGAGCACCAUCCACACUCUCAAGCAAACUUGGGUUUUGAGAUCCAGGACAGUGAUCACUUUUGAGAACAGUUUGACUACCAAGAACCUCGCCAUUUCUCAAGGCAGCAACCACACCCAUCUCAGACGGGCGGCCAUCAGUGGAUUCGGCUAUCAUCUUUAGAGAUGGCUUCAAACUUGAAUAACCAAGUGCACCCAUUGGAUCUCUCCUAAGUAACCUGCAAUGCUAAUUGUCAUGAGUCAUGCCAAAUGUUAAUAGACAUAAGAUCAAGCAAUUUAAUGAAUUAGAUUAUAAUAGAAAUCUAUUGGACUUGGAUUGUGCCAAACUCGUCCCCAUAAAUUAGUUCAUGGGGAGAGGAUUGCCCAAACCUUUAUAAUCUCUACUUUGGCCACAUCUAUAGUCAAUGUGGAAUGUCAACACAAUCUAAUUGGUAAAAGUGGUCCAACUACAUGAUGAAAAAAUUUAUGUCAAGGAUGAAUAUUAGAUCAACAAAGAUAUCUAGCACCUUCAAGUGAAAAUUGACUAAGAAAACUGCAAGUUUAGCAGAUAUCUCAAAUGGGGUCAAUUCCUUGGUGCCUCUUUCCAGAUGUAAAAACAAAAUUAGGAUGGACAAAAGUGCUAUUUUUUCAGGGUAAAAAGAUAGAACUGAAUCAAAGCAAGAUGUCCAAAUCAAUAAUAAAAUUAACUCCCUGAUGUUUUAUAAGAGAAUUAGAGCCAGGGUUAAUUUGACUGCCUUAAAGAAUCUGUCUUGGAGCCAUGCAAAGAAGCUUUUUUUACUUACAUAAGCAUCACCAACAUUCAGAAACAAGAGAUAACUACUUUCAGAAGUGAACGCCAAUCUUGUGUCCCAACUAAGCACCUAUAUACUUGUUGUGAGAUAAAGACAAGUGACUAAAUAAACCCAAGGAUUACUUUUAUACCAGUACCAAGCCACAAAAGCAAUCAGGACCUCAGACCAAAUAUAUAAAUGAAGGUUAUGCUUGAAAGUAGAAGAUAGCUCAGUUCAGUAACAUUUAUGAAUAUAAAGGUUUUAUGGCAAGAUAUACUUUGGCCCAAAUUUAUUCACUAGUUAAAAUCAAUUUGACUAAAUAGAUAUGGUGUCAUACUCCAUAGACCUGAUGAACGGAAAUAAAUAAAAAAUAGGCUAAAUUAAAAUUUUGGUCUCCCUUUAAUUUUUUUAUCCAUAAUUUUGGACCCCCCAUUUUUUCCAUUAUUUUUGCCCAACAAUUUAGAAAAUCCCGAAUUUCAGCUUAAUUCUCAAUUUUGCAAAAUAAAUAUUUCUUUUAUUUUGGUCCAAUUGAACCUCAGAGCUAACAUAUUUAUAAAAGGUACCUUAAAACUUGAUUUAAUUAAUUAAAAUGUAAAAAAUAAAAAGGAAUGAACAUAUGCAAAAUUGAGAAUUUGACCAAAGUUGCGGAUUUUUUAGUAUCAGGGAGCUAAAAUCACAAAAUAAAUAAUGACGCCAAAAUGGCACAUCAAUAAUUAAAGGGUAACUAAAAUUGCAAUUUAGCCCAAAAUUUUAAAAACAUAAGGCUUUGCCCAAUUAUUAAAACUUUAACCUGCGAAUAAUGCUGUAGAGUUCAGGCCUUGCUCUCAUCCAGUCAGCAAAGCUACAGUUAUCAGCUGUAUUAGAACGGAGUGCAGCCCUUUCUGAAUGAAUGUACACAGCAAAGCAUAUUAAAAAGUAGUAUCUCUCCAGGUACUCAACAAAAAAAGAUAGUGAUGCCUCCCUUUUCAUCUCAUCGGGCUGCCGCAAAAUACUAUUGCGAUACGUGGCAAUUGCUUCGCGCAGGUUCUAAAAUUAAAGCAAGACAAGGAUCGGUGAGAGAGUUAAAGAUGAAAUCCUAAAAUUCACCCCACAGAAUACAGGUGAAAAAUUCAGAACAUUGAAGCAGUACAAACAUCCAACUUAGAAUUUAUUUUGAAUAAUGCAGUAUUAAAAUCAUUAGAAAAUAGAAACAGAUAUACCUGCAUUGAAGCACAUUUGUCAAUGACUUUGUCUACUUGUCUUUUCCCCUCAACACCACCCUGAAACAUAUCUGAUAAUUAAGACAACAAGAACAUAUUUUUAUUGUAUAAAAAUAACAUUAAAUUCGAUACCAGUACCUCUAACACCCGAAUCAAGCUUCUUAUGACUGCAUACUCUCCUCUGCGAAUUGCUUCUUCUGAGUCAGGCAAAUGAUCAGCACCAUUGGUCAUACUUUGAAAAAUUCUACCAAUUGAAUUGCUUCUUGGAAACCCUGUCAAUUCAAUAACAAAUACAAUAUUUUGUCAAUGGCAAUUCUAUUAGUACACGUUAUGAUUUGAACUUAAUGACAAUAGAGUGAGGAUAAAUUAAAGGAAAUAAUUAAAGAAAUUCCAUUUUCUUUCCAAGUGACUCAAUAAUUUUAAAUAAAGGUUACUCAGUAUAUAAAACAGUUAUACGACAUUCAUGGAACUAAAGUCUUAUGCAUGCAUGCAUACAUACCCAAUGAAAGUAGUGAUAUGUGGUGAGAAGAACAAAACUAAUCACAAGACCUUCAUUCCAAAGUUUCUCUCUCUCAAAUAAAUAGGUUGGUGCUUUCAUGACAUAUGUUAGACUCAUCUGCACUUACAUACAACAUGCAACAUUCCCAUGAUCACUAGCUGGACAGAAGCCCUGUAACCUAGCUAUAGAUAUGGAAAAAAAUGGACCCUGUGGAGAUGAACUAAAGAGUUGUCUUACCAUAAAAUAUGUUUUCUUUUACAAGAGCUGGUGAAAUAACCAGGCCACAUAAAUAAGCAACCAGAUCCUACUCCUUUAAAAUGGUAUACACGACACAAUUCUUUUCCCUCACGAUAUAAAUCACUAAAACACUCAACACAGCCCGGUUCGGUAAAAAUCCUAAUUUUAGUUUCUUAAAAACCAUGAACUGAACAGAAAUAAGUCGUAAGAGCUUGACCAGCAGAAUAGAGGAGGAACAACCAUUAGCACAAACUGAGUGAAACUGUGAACAGAAAUACCGUGAACCUCUGUGCUUCUCCUCCAGCCAUUAGAACAAACUGAUUGAAAAAGCAAGACCUGCAGAAAAGAGGGAGGAACGAAACAGCGGGAGGAGCGGAACAGCGGACAGCGGAAAGAGUGGAACACCAGACAGCAGGAGAAGCAGGACAGCGAGAGGAGCAUAACAGUGGGAUGUUGGCAAAGCGAUGUUGCUCCUUUACCGGUGAUCCCUUCCCUUGCUUUACAUGUGCUACUACUACUGAGUGAGUUUUUUGGAUUCUUGCUUUUUAAAAAUGGGUAAAUCAAAAAGGGAGUCCGAUAUUACUUGAACUAUUGUGAAAAUCUUCCUACAAGUAAAAUAUAAAUUUUGUUCUCAUGCUUGUUGGGGUGGCAUAGCAAAGGAUGAAACAUCAUCUUGCUGGAACAAAGAAAGAUGUUAUUCCUUGUUGUAGUGUUCCAAAUGAGUUGAAGGAAAUAUUUCUGAAGCUGUUGAAAAGUAAAGAAAAAAAGAAAGAGGAUAACAACUUUGAUUGUGCAGAAGUUACAAUAGAAGUAGCAAAAGGAAAGAAUGAUCUCCAGCAAAUGACAAUCAAUGGAUCUUAUAAGAAUAGAGAAUAUGUAAUUUGAGAAGUUUGCAACUGCAUUUAUGGUAUGUAAUUCAUUGACAUUUAAUCUUGUAAGGAGUCCUCUUUUUAUCUAAAUGCUAAAGGUUGUUGGAGAGUAUGGAAAAGGUUUAAAGUCUCCUUAUCAUGAGGUAAGGGUUUCCUAUCUGAAAAAGUUGUGGAUAAUGUACAAAAAUGUCUAGAAAAAUAUAGAAGUGAUUGGGAGAAAUGAGGAUGCACAUUGAUGUGUGAUGGUUGGACAUAUGAGAAAGAAAGAUCACUCACUAAUUUUCUUGUUAACAAUUCAAGUGGGACUGUUUUUUGAAAUAUAUUGAUACUAGUGAUGUGAUAAAAGAUGGGGAAAAAAUGAGUUGUUGGACAGCAUAGUGGAUGAAAUUGGAGAGGAGCAUGUUGUCCAAGUAGUUACAGAUGGGGCUUCUAACCUUGUGGCAGCUGGAGAAUGUUAAUGGAAAAGAGAACCAAAUUAUUUUGGUCCCCAUAUAGGCACACACUUCCAGUACUUUUGUUUUUACAGUUCUUUGGUGGGAGAGUUAUGGGGGAGAAGAAGGUAAAGAGUUACAAAAGGGAGCCAUGAAAAUUUUGAGCCUCACAUGUAGUGCAACAGGGUAUGAAAAGAAUUGGAGCACAUUUGACCAAGUGCAUACUAAGAGAAGAAAUAGAUUGGAACAACAAAGAUUAAAUGCUCUUAUGCGUGUGAAGUACAAUCUUCAGCUUGAGAUGAGACAAAAGGGAAGAGAAGGAGGAAACUUAUGAUCCCAUAUGUUUGUCGGAUAUUGAAUUGGAUGAUGAAUACAUCACUGAAAAGGAAAAUUCUUGUUUGCCUAUUGAUUCCUCAUGGAUGGAUGCACAUGAGUGCUUUGCUGUUGAAGAGGAAACUCCAAGUAAAAAAAAAGGAAGCGAGGUAAUUAUGUCUAUUUAGAAACUUUAGAAGUUAGAACUUGAAAUGUAAGUUCAACAAACUAGAACUAAAAUUUAUUUGUUUUUCUUUUACUAAUAUAAGUCCUAGAAACUUAAAUGCCAAGACCAAUAAAAAUGGAAAAUCCAUAGUAGGAGAUGAGGAAGAAGUUGAGGACAUUGAAGGGGAAGAGCUUUUAAUAGAAGAUGAAGAUGACUUAAGUGAUGUAGAUCUUGGAGAGGAAGAGGAUGGAAUAUGAAUGACUAGGAUAUAAUUUUUAUUUUUUUUUGAGAUUGUUUAGUAUGUACAAGCAACAACCAUAGUCUGCCGUAAUUAUGUGGUAGCAGCAACAACACUUAUUUUGAGGAAGACUAUAAUGCAAAUUUGUUUAGUAGCAUAUAGCCAUGGUUAUAGAAAUCUUAUGCACCAACCACACCUUUUUUGAAGGUUGUGUUGCUGAAAUUGUGUAGUAAAUACACAGAUACAACCACUUUUUUUGAUUGAGGUUGAUUUCUUAUUAAUUGUAUCUUUGCAUGUUUAUACAUCUUAUAUAUUUAAGUAUAUGUUACAUUUUUUCAAUGUUUAUGAAUCUUACUAUUCACGAUAUAAAACAAUUCAUGAGUCAAAAUAUAAGCUCUCUGAUACAUAAUUUGUAUCUCGAUUCAACUACCAUGCCCAAAACUAACAUCAUAACCAAGGUAGAUGCUGAUAAAAACAGAAAGGAAGGAUGUAGGCAUCUUCCAUAUGUGUUGCCUUGGUAUUAAAAUUCAACAUUUAUGAAAAAUCCAGACUUUCUAUGCUAACUAAAUACUGAAUAUACAAGAAACCAUUCUUACAUUCAAAUUUCUUGGAUGAAUAACUACUUAAAUAAAGCAAUAUAAGCAUUAAAAUCAGAGAAAUAAAAAAAAUAUAUAAAAUGUACCAGAGGCCCCUAUUCGGUUGAGGUAGACCAAAGUUGCAAUGACCAUUCCAGUUGUGGUUCGACCACGCCCCAUUUGACAAUUAAAAAUUAUCUCCGUGUCUACAUCAGCUUGAGAAAUUUUAUUAACCUAAAAUAAAUAAAUAAAUAUGAAAAGUAUGAGUUUUCAAUGUCAAUAAAUAUUGUAUGAAAUAUAAAAGCUACGAGUCCUAACAAUUAAGCACUGUUCAGCAGCAUCAGCAGCAGCUCAAUGACAAGACAAUAGAGAAGGACACUACAUCACCCAACCCCUUGAUGCACCAAAAGAAUAUGUAUGCAGAAAGUGAUACCAAAUGUGAUAGAGCAUAACAAAUACACACAAAAUACUAACCAAGAUAUCAAAAUCCAUUUCCUUUGGAGAUUUUUCAUCAGUUAUAGGAACGCGUUCAUAAUCAACAAGAUAUCCCGCUACUUGCAAUUCCUCAUACACCUACAGCAAAGAAAAAACCUUGAUGCAUUUGUAUCAGAAAAUUGAUCAAGAAAUCUCAAACUGCCAUCAUAUACUAGUUUCAGCCAUACCUCUAGUGGUGUCUUCACAGAAUUACAUGACACCGGCUCCCAUUGGUCCACCAUCUGCCCAUCUGGCAGUUCAUCAGUCACAAGAAUCUUAUUUCCAUAUCUGUCGUAUCCAUGUGCAAAUAAGAUUAACAGUAAAGCAUAAAGAAAACCACAGAUUCACAGGACAAGCACGGAGCAAAGCCACAAAAAUACCUUGCUGCCUCCACCAGGAUGUCUUCUUUCAAACGAGCUUCCAUUUGUUCAACCCUUUCUCUGUUAAUUCCCUAAUCAAGUACAGAAUGCCCCACAAGUUAACGGACUCAAUUCAAACCAACUUGCAGUGUAAGCAUCAGCUAAAUUGAAAGCCAGCACAGAACUGAUAUGCACCGCCAUAACAUACCGUAUACUCAAGGUUUGAGAACGGCCUCUCCACAUCACGCAAAACAAAAGGACGACCAUUAAUGUAGGCAAGCUGAUUCCAACAAAGGAAGGAAAUAAUAAGUAAGGAGAAAACAUUAUCACAAACAUCCAGCAUCAAACUAACAAUACUUAGCCUAAACUCAAGUACUACUCAUGCAACACAGGAGUUAGUUUUAAAAACCCAAACUCCUUGAAGUCAGCCAUAGGUUAAAUUAAAAUAAAAAUAUAACACACCGGUUCCUCACGAAGGCUAAUCCAGAGAACUUUCAAUCGAGCACCAAUGUGGUCGAGAACGUUUCGAAUUCCAUCAAUGGUUGGAAUGGCAACACCGUGAACAUGCAACGAGUCCGAUGCCUAACAACAACAACAACAACAACAACACUAACUACCUGAUUAAAAAAAAUUAUAAAAAAAAAAAUAGAUGAAUUAGCAGAAGACGAAAAGACGAAGAAGACCUACCUGUCGAUAAUUGGGAGCGCCUUCGAUCUGAGGCGACAAACGUUUGUUCUGGCAACCAGGGAAAUGGUCGCUCUUUAGAAUCGUCCUCUUCCCCAAGACACCUCCUCCUCUCAUCUUCAUCACCUGCUCCGGCUCCUUCGGUAUCUGCGACAUCGAACCAACUCACUCUCUUCUCUUCCAAUUGCAAAUCCAAACACCCAAGUCUUCACCACGCUACUCGUUUCUCUCUACCCUCACACACACACACAACACUUCUCACAAUUGCAACUGAAUUUUUCUCUCUCUACCUCCCGCGGAUUUCCAAUUAUCUUACAUAAUUAUUUAUCUCAUAGCUUCUCCUCACUUUACGACUUACUCAAUUUCUGAAACCAACACCAACAACGUGAAAGACGUGAGUGAGUGAAGAGUGACGACGAAAGCCGUGUGAGCUCAAUGUGAUCGAGCUUAUAAACACGAAUCUUCCCUGAUUUUAUUUCUUUGUUAAUCAACCUGUUUAACGUGUUUGCUUAUUUAAUUCUCAUUAAUAUUAUUCUCAUUUUUAAAAUUAAAAAUACAAAAGCACUUCUUAUUUCUCAGGUUGCGAUUAAUGCUUAACUUAUAGCUUAUGCUGUGGAUAUUCUCUUCCCUGUCUCGUUUGCGCUUUCUCCCUCCACCUUACCACCUUUUUCCUUCUCAACGACCCAUUUAUAUUCACCACACAAAAAAUUCUCACCUACACAAAUUUAUUACGCAAAGGAAUAAAAUAUACGCUCAUAUCUUCUGGAUAAUGCUGCAACUCAAAUGGAUUUGAUGAUUCAUCGUUAUCGUACACACUUAUUUAUGUGCAACUAAAAUAUCAAAAACGAAACUAACUUUUUCCUUCUUUCAUUAAGUUAAUCAAAGUAAUUUACAAAUUAUUAAAGUGACUAACCUAUUCCUAUAAUCUACUAAAAAAGUAAUUAAUUAAUUAAUGUUUAUACACAUGGGAUAAAAUUUAUCCAAUGAAAUACCACAAUUUAAAAAUUCCAUUACGUGGCCGAAUGACUGGUCCAUUAAUUUAUGUGUAUACACGUGACCGAAUGACUGGUUCAUUAACUAUACAAAAUAAAAUAAAAAAGAAUUCAAAAUCGUUAAAUUCAUACAGAGGAAACAAAAGUGCGGAUAAAAUCUGUUUGAAUGUAUUUUCCAAUAACACAUUUUGAAUCCUGAAUUUAAUUUAAAAUGUUUUUUUUACUAUGACAGACAGAGUUUAUGUGUAGAUAAAGAACAUCUAACGAACUCAAAAUGACAAAUAAUUUAUAAUUAACGUGAAUUAAUACACCUAAUUAAUUCUUAAUUUUAGAAUAAAACAAAAUUAACCUAAAAAUCAUGAUAAUUUUAGAUUCAAUAUAAACAAUAUUCUUGUUAUAAUCUUUUGCAACUGUCUUCAUUCUAAUUGAGAUUAAAAAAAUAAAAAUUCUAAAAGAACUGAUGGUGGAAGAUACUAGUGUUUAUCAAGAUAGAGAGAAGACGACUCUAAUCCAUUAAAAAAACAGAUUUUAAGAAGAAAAAAAAGGUAUAUGUAAUAAAACUUAUUAGUUUUUACAAAUUAUUUUAUCAAUUUUCUGCAAAACGUAUAAUUUAGUUACUUAUAUUAAUGUAUAUUUCUUGCAUUUUAAUUUCUUAUAGAAUUGCAUAAUUCUAACGUAUUAUUUUGAUUUUCAUUUUCUAUGAAAACUUGUAAUUUUUAAUGGAAAUUGUUAUGUUUUAUUAAAAUUUAAAUGUAAAUAUUAUGAUAUAUUUCAUUGCAAUUUUUUUGUUUAAUUUGAAUGGUAAUAAACUUUAUAUAGCAAUAAUUUUGUGUUUUGAUCUUAUAUGUAAAUUUCUAAUGGUUAAUGGAAUGAUUGAUUUUAUUAAAAUUUAAAUUUAAAUAUUAUGACAUGUUUCAUUUAUAUUUGUAUGGUUAAUUUUGAAUGUUAAGAAUAUAAAAGUGAUGUUUUCUUUUAGUAGUUGAAAUUUUAUAGUUACUAUAUCGAUUAAACUAUUAAUCUAUUGGCCACAUGUUCAACGACCAUAUAAAAAAAAUAAAAAAAAACAAAUAUAUAUAAUAAUAAUAAUAUUUUUUAAAAAUAACGUGAUCCUCCAAAAAAAAUUGCAUAGAAAAAGUCCCGUGCUUUACAUAACUAUCCACUUGUUACAUCACACGUGUAGAUAAUGAAUUGAGUCAAGAUCCAAUCUUUUAAUGUCAAUAUUUUGAACUCCAACUUCAAACCUAAACAAAAUUAUUUAAUAAUGCUAAUAUUAAUAUUAAUAAUGAAAUUAUUAUUAUUUAUUUAUUUUUUCCCAUUAAUUAAACAUGUAUUUAAAAUAUUUAAUUAUUAAAACAUUACAUAAUAUAGUAUAUUUUUAAAAAAAUAUUAUUCUAGAAUAUGUAAUUAAAAAAAUAUUUUGAAAUUAUAAGGUUUUAUGAAAAAAUUCAAAACGUUUAAACCAAUAAACUCAACCUAAUAUAACUCGAGAAUAACUUUAUUCGAAUUAAGUAUAAUAAUAAAAAGCAGAUAAAUCCAAUUUAAUUCAAAUUUUAUUAGGUUAAAUGGUGGAUUUGUUGAAACCACGUCAUUCAUAUUAAAAUAGGUAGAUAAUAUCAAUGGAAUAAAGAAACGUGGAAAAAAUGGCAAUUAGUGGGUCCCGAGAUUAGUUGGUCCAAUGGCCAAGAAUAUUUUAGAGGGCCCAACAAACAUGCCUCAUUAAUUAGUUUCUCACAACAAUAUAAUAAAAAAAUUAACUUACAAAAUAAGCUGCCACUGCCUGAUUCUGAGUAAGCAAUUUUGAACCCAAAUUAGAGUUAAAAUUCCCCGUUUCUAGGUUUAAAUAUACGAACAAAUUAAGAAUAAAAAUAUAUAAAUGGAGGACAGUUCUUAUCUUGUAAAAUGUAGAAUUGAAUUUAAACUAAACCCAAAUUAUAAUGAUAGAUAUUAUUUUGUUUUGUUUAACUAAUCAACAUUGUUAGUUUUCAAUUGUAUUUUUGUUUGCCAAAACAAAAUAGUUACUUGUGUUGUUACGUAAGUUGCACACUAUCUAUAAAUAAUAACACAGCUGAAUGAAAUAAUGCGCGUGUGAAGGGGUAAUGGAAGUGAAAUAAAUUAAUGGAAAGUUGUAAGAGAGAACGUGAAGGACGUGGUGGGGAGCAACUGGUUUUAUAAUUACUUUGAACUGAUUUCACCAUAAAGAAAUUGACUAGUGAAUGCUUACACACAAAUGACAGAGGUUUUCUUAGGUGAAGUUGGGUUUUAGAUGCAAUUAAUUAAUGUCUUAACGACCCAUUUGCUGUGUUGUUUUAAGAAAGCAGCGUAGAUUCUCUCACCACCUUUACACCCUCUUUUAGGAGCACUGUUCCAUCACUUUCAUUCUUUAUUUGUGAAAGCAACAUGUGUAAAAAAAAAUAUUCAGAAAAGAAAAACUAGAGACAAAAGCAGGUGUCACUUCACUCUCAUUCUUUCAGAGGUUGUGAAAUUAUCCUAUUCAUGGCAAAUUAGCCAAAAUUGGUGGCACUUUGUCAAGAGUGUCGCAUAAGGAAGUGCCAUCAAUUUCCUGUUAAAAUGAGGUAGGUUGCGUUGCGUAACGAGGAAGAGGUCUUGGAUCGUAGUACGUUGGGGAGAGGUACAUAGCAAUUAUUUGAGGAGUAGAGUAGGGUGGAAUAGAGUAGAGAGACCCUUUUUGUUAAGUUGUCAACUUCAUUUCCCUCUGCAUGCACUCACACUCAGUCACGUUGUGCUUUGUUUAUCUGGAUAACUAAUGGAGACAACCACACAUGCACAUCUAAAGAUCUUCUGAACCACCAUUUGCUUUUCCACCUGCUAUACACAUUACUGCAAUACCACUGUUAGAUCUAAGAAAUAAAACAAAAUUGUACUUCCAUGCUCAACUUUUUAACCAAUUUCCUCCUUUAUUUUCUAACUCUUACGGUUAAGUUAAUUUGAUUAGUUCCAAGUAUUAAUGCUUAUAUGUAUAAUUGUUAUUUCAGCUCAAAAUAUUGUCUUGUGUAGUUUCCUUAUUCCUUAUUAAAUGUAGAAUUUUUUAACAAAAAAGCCUUUAUUUAUCUGUCAUUAUCAAAAUUCAUUGCUGUGUUCUCUUGUAAGUAUAGUAUCUUUUGUUUUUUUUGUUUUUAUUUAAAUCUCAUUUUCAAAAUUCAAAACAAUAUUAAUUAUUCUCUUACUAUUUAUACCCUGAUCUUUCGUAUAAUUUUUAAUUAGUUUAUCUAUGCAUAUUUAUUAUUAUAUAAAAAAAAGUAAAACAAAAAAUCUUAUAAAUAUUUUAUUACUUCUAAAAGAAAGUUAAACGGAAUUGUGGAAGUAAUAUUUUGUACAAGUAACUGAUCUUGUACACGGCGGGGGGGGGGGGGGUGGGGGGGCUUGUAAACCAAGAAAAACAUCAUUACCACAUACUUUGAACAUAGUAAUCAUAAAAGUAGCGUGUUUCAUCCUACAGGCAGCAUUUAGUGCUGAUUUUUCGAUUUCAAUACCCAUACAUAAUAACAUAAUUGACAAGGUCAGCGUCAGCAUUUACAUUCAGAAUGAAACAGCAGCGUCAGCAUCCAUAUCAGUCACCUCUCUUACGAGGUUUUUGGUAGAAGGCAAACCAGCAGUUACCUCCUCUUCAAUCCCGCAUUCGUUUGUCCCCCUUCGGAUCUUGAAGUAACCAUCCUGCGGUUAAGAUUAAAUUAGUCCAUCAUUAGCUAAGACACAACUUAAGUAACAGACAUUCCAGUUGAAGAAAUAAAUCAAGAAACAUACAUCUCCCCAUUCUCUGUUCCACUGAUUUGCGAGAAGCUGAAACAAUGAAAAGUAUCCAAUCAGUAUAUAAAUCUGAAUUUCAGAUAGUAUCCCCCAGGGAACUGAAAUGUAAAUAAGGAACAUAUCAACAUACCCAAUAGUCUUGUCCAUCAUCAGUUGUUCCCCACCCAAUUAGCUUCACUGCAUGACCGCCUAGUGCAUAACCUGUGACGUGUUUGUAAACUCCUGACUUGUAAUGAGCAAAAUCCUGUGAAGAGGUCAAAUUAGUAAAAGGCAAACUUGUCUUAAAGCAACCAAGCAAACUGCUCAAUAUGCUUGAAACUAUUCACAGAAGAAAACAAAGGUUAACGUAAUGUUUAGGGUUUAGGAUUUAUUAUUUAGUGUCUAGGGUUUAUGUUGGAGGUUUAGACACUACAUGCAAAAUGAUGCAGGUAACAGUCACAGAUGCUUUAGUUAGUUGAAAGGUCAUGGGCAAGGAGGGGCCCUUGGAAAUGCUUUAACGGGAAAGAUGCUAUUCUAAUCCUGCUCGAAUGAUGGGGACAAGAAAGUGACAUAAGUUGUAGUUGCAAGAUUUUAACUGCAUGUAAGAGACCAAACAAUAAAUAAAUGACUCCUAUAGGUCAAUGCUUUUAAUAAAGAGAAUCCAAUGACUCAAAAAUAUGCUAAAGGGGCUUAAUAGCUAGGGGGUGACCAAUGCAACAUAUAAUAGGGCCAGGUUGUUGUAAGGCCUUUUCUAUUUUUGGCAAGCUAAAAUUGUGUCUCCACCAGUUAUGAUUGAUAAUACUAGUUUCUGAUUUAAAACUGUUACUUUCUAUCCUAAUGUCAAUCCACAACCCAAAGUAUAAAAGAUGACAACUGCCCCCAUUUUUGUUCUGAUAAAGAAAGCAACCAAAUAAAGAGGAAAAAAGAAAAAGAAAAAAAAAUCAGAGAACGGAGAAGAAACAAAAGAAUAAAUCUUUUAUGUCAAACCAUUUCUUUUGUUAAUGCAUAAAUUACCAUGACUGCUCACUCCGUAUUUUAGCAGACUGAAUGCAAGGAAAUAAAUCCUAAUACGAAAACCCUUCCACAUAAUCCUUGUCCUAAUACGAUCCCUUAAUGAGCAUCAUAUAUACCCUUGAAAAGCCUACUACUUCUGGGUAUGUAUUAAUCAAGUGUAGGAAUGGAAUAUGAUCUUAGUUUACUUAGUACUUUUGGUCCAAGACCUUUUCCAUGUGAUUCAUACAAACAAACGCAUUUUAUUCCCCGUUUUUCUCAUUUGAGAAUUGAUAUUUUAUCUUUAUUUGUAAACCUUAACCUUAAACCCUCCAUGAAAGCCAAUAGCUCCAGACAUAUGCAUGAGUCAAAACCAGCCCCAAAGGAACCAUUAAGGAGAAUAAUAUACCACAGAAGAUGAGAGCAAUGACUAGCUAAUGCUGGUGAAAGCAAAGGGAUUAAUAAAAAGCAACAGACCUCAUCAGCACCAACAUUAGCCUUAUCAAAUAAAAGUAGGGCUACUUAGAUGCAUUUGCAAGUUUAAAGAGCAUACUUAAAAGAUAGGUAAAUCUGAAAAACAUAUAUGCAAAGACUUUAGAGGCACCCAGCUUAAUUGAAAGAAGAAGAAAGAUGAGAAUUGACAUAGAUCAGGAAUACGUGAAGAUCUAUGGAAUGAUAAAAUGGCACAAAAUGAACAACAUUUAGACAAUGAGAAGCUCGCGAUUAAGCAUGAAAAACCCAAAACACAUGGAAAAAAAAAGAUUCCCUGCUGGUUAUGUUUGGGGAAGUUAAUUGUAAUGUAUUGAAUCUCAGUCUAGCUAAAAGUAAGCACUAAUGCCAAUAUGACAAUUAAGGAGAAAACAUAAUAAGGAAAAGUUCAUAAUAAAAAUUGAAAAACACCGUGUUAUAAAAGAUUUUUUCUAACAUCACUAUAAACCCAACAACUUUAAUAUCUACUAAUUAUCACUCCAGUCCAUAUAUCUGAUCCCCAAUCAUUCUCCCUUCACAUAUAUUGUUUAAAGUUUUAAACCCAAAACAAUCCUCAAUCAUAUCAUAUUCAAUUUGCACACCCACUAGAUGCCAGUCCCAAAGUCGUGGGCCCAAUUAAAUAUAAAUAAUUUGUAUACAUUAUUAAAAAAUAUUUAGCAUAAAUAUAUUCUGAUUUGUACAACAUCUUUUGAAAUUUAGGAGAAUUGUAGCCUUCAUCUUAUAAGAUGAGGUUUGCACUCACUUAUACAUUAUGAAAUGUCCUAAUCUCUAGUCGAUGUGGGAUCUCCAUCACACCCUCACGUCAAGACUCUCAACUCGUGCGUGAGACUAUAUAUUAUGGGUGGUUCGAUAGCAGCUUGAUAAACCCAACAAACUCUCGCUAUGAUAGAUUCUAAAUGGCUUUGAUACCAUAUUAAGAAGUGAACUUUAAGCCUAACUCAACCUUAUAAAACUGGCUUAUAAGGCGAGAUUUGCACCAACUUAUAUACUAUGAAAUGUCCUAAUCUCUAGUCGAUAUAGGAUUUUCAACACUCACAACUCAUUAAGUUAAGACCAUUUUGAAAGGGAAAGGUCAUUUAAUAGAUGAUGCCUUUGCGGAAGAUGAUCCUACAUUCAAGUCUUGGGAUGAAGAAGACUCCAUGAUCAUGGCAUGCUUAUGGAAUUCAAUGGUUCCAGAAAUCAAUGACACAUGUAUGUUCCUCAAUUCAACAAAAGCAAUAUGGUUCACAAUAGAGGAAACAUAUUAUAAGGAAAAGGAUGUUGCACAAAUUUAUGAUGUGAAGGUGAAAACCAUGGCUGCCAAACAAGGCACCAAAACUAUUACUGAGUAUGCUAAUCGGCUUAAAGUUUUAUGGAUGGAAUUGGAUCACUAAGGAUUCAACAAUUCUAAAAAAGGACAUUGAAUAGGAUCAAGUGUAUAAUAUUUUGGUAGGUCCAAACAAAGAAUAUGAUCAAGUCAAAAUUCAAAUAUUGGGAGUCAUGGCAAUUAUUCAGGGUGAAUAAAGUAGGAGGAGUCUAAUGCUACAGACUCCUGUUGUAGAAAGUUUAGCAAUGGUUGCUAAAGGAACAACAUCCAUGGUCAGGACCAAAGAAAAGGAGUCUUACUUACAAAGAUGGAAAAGAAAAAUGAAGGAGUAUGGUGUACUUAUUGGUCUAUGUGGAUGAUAUCAUUGUUAUGGUAAAUGACUAAAAGGAGCAACAAAGGUUAAGACAAUGUCUUGGCAAAGAAUUUGAAAUCAAGACUUUAGGAAAGUUGAAAUAUUUUUUUAGAAUUGAAGUAGCUCAUUCCAAGAAAGGGAUCUUCACAUCUCAGCUAAAAUACAUUACAAAUUUGUUACAAGAAUCAGCCAAAACAGCCUGCAAACCAACAAGCACACUUAUUGAUCCAAAUUCAAAGUUGGGAAGUGCAGAGGAUGAUGUUGUUAUGGAUAAAGAAGUGUACCAGAGACUUGUAGGAAGACUUAGUUAUCUAUCUCACACUAGACCAGAUAUUGCUUUUGUUGUGAUCUAUAGUCAGCCAAUUUAUGCAUCAACUAAAGGAAGCACAUUUACAAGUUGCUCUUAGAAUUGUCCAAUAUUUGAAAGGAACACCAGAAAGAGGAAUUUUAUUCAGAACAAACAAGGGCAUAUAAUGAUGUUAGUUAGGUUCAGUUGUGUAUAGGAGGUCAACUACUAGAUAUUAUACCUUCCUUGGUGGAAACCUAGUAACUUGUUAGAGUAAAAAACAAAGUAGUGCUGAAGCACUCAAGGAAUAUGUGAAAUGUUAUGGCUUAAGAUUAUAUUGGAGGACUUGAUGAUAAAGUGGGAUGAACCUAUGAGGUAUAUAUUAUGACAAUAAAUCUGCAAUCACUAUAGCUCACAGCCCAGUGCAACAUAAUACUAAUAGAACUAAACAUAUUGAAGUGGAGAGACAUUUUAUCAAAGAAAAGCUUGAUAGUGGCAUGAUUUGCACUCCAUAUGUGUCUACUCAAGGACAGCUUGCAGACAUACUUAUCAGGGGGCUGAAAAACAGUAACUUAGAAAGAAUUCUAUUCAAGCUGAGAAAGGACACCAACUAGAGAGGGAAUAUCAAGAUAUUUUAGGAAGUUUCAAAUUUGAUUCCUUUUUAUUUUUUUAAUUUUGUAUAUUGGUUGUAUCUUGUUUUUAUUACUAGCAUAUCAAUCCCAUAAUCUCAAGGAUUUGUUUCCCAAAAUAGGCAGUGCUUGUUUCCAAAUUUAUCCAAUUAAUGUAUGUAUAUAAGAUGUAAGUAAAUGAAACUGAAUAAGAGAAAUUAUUUUCUUCUAAGCUUGAGAAUGGUAUCAGGAAGGAUGGUAAUGACAUUAAUGUUGCCCUUGAUGGUGGUAGUAACAAUGAUGGUGAUCAUAACGAGAAGGGUCUUUACCAAAAAUAGCAAGGGUAGGUUUUGCCAAAACUAAACCAAAUUUGCAAAUAAUUUUCUUGGUUUAGAAAAUGAAUGUAAAAAAGUUUCAAAAUUAAGUAAUAAAUCAUUUCAACUCCAUUUUGGCAAACACUUUCUGUUUUGAAAAAUGCAUUUGAAGAGCACCAACUCAACCAUUUCAAACAGGACCUAAUGCAUGCACUCUUUUGUUGUUGUGACAAUAACAACUCACAUUGUUACCCUAAAAUGAAUUUUCAACUUUCUUAAUUCAUUAUAUUACAGCCGAGGUUACUGCACAUCCCAAUUUUCUUGCAAACAUUAUCCCAACAUUGCAAUCAACAUACAAUAAAGCAAGUGAUAUCAAUAAUACAAAGUUAAUGAAUACCUUUAAUUUAAGGAGAAGUUCCAUGAAAUCUACUUAAAUGAUACACACUCCCUUGAAAUCUUCUUAAGUGACAUUCAUACUCCCUCUAGAUUUUAAUUAGACACUCACUUCUAUGGUGUUUUUAAUAAAGUAACACUUACCCUUUAUUUGAUUAAUAAAGGGACAAAUACACCCCUUCUUUGAUGCUACGAGAAGAAGAGUAUUUUUUUAAAACUAGAGGGGGUAAGAAAGAUAUGUGCAAUUUUCCCUCAAUGCAACAAUAAUUCUUUAAGAAAUGGCCAAGGGUUAACCCCCAUUCAGCUAUAGCAAACCACUAUUUUCCAACUCUUAGCUAUACUUCAUAUAUAACUUUGAAAGAGUAAUAUACCUUCAAUAUUCCAUCAAAAAAGUCAAUCCACAAUUAGUUAGAGGAUCCAAAAUAACCACAAAAGAGUUCAACAGAGAUAUUUAUUCUAAAGAGGUUUAGAGUCACGCAUAAUGGAAAGCAUCAAAUGGUCUGUGAUUGAGCCUCCAAUAAUAUAAUAUUCACUUCAACCUCCCCACUAGUUCUUCUAAACUAUGAAAACCUGCUAGAGAUUUCCCAUUCCUCUCCACCUAUCCAUAAGUUUUUAUUUUGUAACAUGUUUUGCAUGUUAGAUCACAUGCACCAAUCUCAAACACUCUGAAUCAAUUGUUUCAAAAUUAUUGUCGUACAAUUAUAAAUUAUAGAUAGGAUAUUUUGAGUUUUUAGAAAUUGACCAUGGAAGUUGCAGAAAAUUCAAUUGCAGUGUGGAUAAGAGUUCUUAUUUACCUCAUAAACAGUAAAUGCGACCUCAACUGGCCCAUUUGUGUACACUUCUGCCAUUAUAUCAUGGGGAUUAGAGUUGACCGUGUAGGCAUUGACACUAAAGUGCUUUGACUUCUUCCACAGCUGGUUCCCCCCAUCUACACAUUUUUUAACACACUUGGGAGUCC